RNAcentral lists this ribosomal RNA (1576 nucleotides) under Leuconostoc mesenteroides. Its description in RNAcentral is "bacterial SSU rRNA". It matches the Rfam family "Bacterial small subunit ribosomal RNA". Lineage: Bacteria; Bacillati; Bacillota; Bacilli; Lactobacillales; Lactobacillaceae. The record is from RNAcentral.
CCCCUUUAAUAGGUUUUUAUUAUCACUCUCAGGAUGAACGCUGGCGGCGUGCCUAAUACAUGCAAGUCGAACGCACAGCGAAAGGUGCUUGCACCUUUCAAGUGAGUGGCGAACGGGUGAGUAACACGUGGACAACCUGCCUCAAGGCUGGGGAUAACAUUUGGAAACAGAUGCUAAUACCGAAUAAAACUUAGUGUCGCAUGACAAAAAGUUAAAAGGCGCUUCGGCGUCACCUAGAGAUGGAUCCGCGGUGCAUUAGUUAGUUGGUGGGGUAAAGGCCUACCAAGACAAUGAUGCAUAGCCGAGUUGAGAGACUGAUCGGCCACAUUGGGACUGAGACACGGCCCAAACUCCUACGGGAGGCUGCAGUAGGGAAUCUUCCACAAUGGGCGAAAGCCUGAUGGAGCAACGCCGCGUGUGUGAUGAAGGCUUUCGGGUCGUAAAGCACUGUUGUAUGGGAAGAACAGCUAGAAUAGGAAAUGAUUUUAGUUUGACGGUACCAUACCAGAAAGGGACGGCUAAAUACGUGCCAGCAGCCGCGGUAAUACGUAUGUCCCGAGCGUUAUCCGGAUUUAUUGGGCGUAAAGCGAGCGCAGACGGUUUAUUAAGUCUGAUGUGAAAGCCCGGAGCUCAACUCCGGAAUGGCAUUGGAAACUGGUUAACUUGAGUGCAGUAGAGGUAAGUGGAACUCCAUGUGUAGCGGUGGAAUGCGUAGAUAUAUGGAAGAACACCAGUGGCGAAGGCGGCUUACUGGACUGCAACUGACGUUGAGGCUCGAAAGUGUGGGUAGCAAACAGGAUUAGAUACCCUGGUAGUCCACACCGUAAACGAUGAACACUAGGUGUUAGGAGGUUUCCGCCUCUUAGUGCCGAAGCUAACGCAUUAAGUGUUCCGCCUGGGGAGUACGACCGCAAGGUUGAAACUCAAAGGAAUUGACGGGGACCCGCACAAGCGGUGGAGCAUGUGGUUUAAUUCGAAGCAACGCGAAGAACCUUACCAGGUCUUGACAUCCUUUGAAGCUUUUAGAGAUAGAAGUGUUCUCUUCGGAGACAAAGUGACAGGUGGUGCAUGGUCGUCGUCAGCUCGUGUCGUGAGAUGUUGGGUUAAGUCCCGCAACGAGCGCAACCCUUAUUGUUAGUUGCCAGCAUUCAGAUGGGCACUCUAGCGAGACUGCCGGUGACAAACCGGAGGAAGGCGGGGACGACGUCAGAUCAUCAUGCCCCUUAUGACCUGGGCUACACACGUGCUACAAUGGCGUAUACAACGAGUUGCCAACCCGCGAGGGUGAGCUAAUCUCUUAAAGUACGUCUCAGUUCGGAUUGUAGUCUGCAACUCGACUACAUGAAGUCGGAAUCGCUAGUAAUCGCGGAUCAGCACGCCGCGGUGAAUACGUUCCCGGGUCUUGUACACACCGCCCGUCACACCAUGGGAGUUUGUAAUGCCCAAAGCCGGUGGCCUAACCUUUUAGGAAGGAGCCGUCUAAGGCAGGACAGAUGACUGGGGUGAAGUCGUAACAAGGUAGCCGUAGGAGAACCUGCGGCUGGAUACCUUCCUUUUCUAACUGGAUCACCUCCUU